AAAAAACUGCAACAAGUAGCAGAGGAGAACUCUAAGUUAAGAGACUUCCUGGUGGACCGGGGUCACAUGGUGAAUGUUUUGCAAGGUGAAAUCACCCUCGUGUGUGAGGAGGUUCUGUCUCUUAAAGAUAGAGUAGAUGGUCCAGUGGCGCAGUCAGUGGCAUCAUCCAGUUCGUCAGUUCUGAAGUCCUUACCUUCAUUGGAUAGUGUUGAGCAACUUGUGGGAGCUGCUGAGGAAAGCCCUAAGAUUCAGUUGGAUAGCGGAAAGGAAGAAAAUUUCCAUGGUGACAAACAGAAGACUCUUUCAGAUGAAGAGUGGGAAUUUUUUGAAGACGAGGCUUAGGAUUUCGAUUUGUGCCUAGUUUCCAUUCUCUACUGAGAAGACUUCACGAGUGAGG
Molecule: unclassified non-coding RNA, 397 nt
Filed under: Hevea brasiliensis (rubber tree)
Lineage: Eukaryota; Viridiplantae; Streptophyta; Magnoliopsida; Malpighiales; Euphorbiaceae
Source: RNAcentral